AUAUUAUAUAUUCUAAUGGUUUCUGUUAUUUUUUUACAUUAUAUAUAUAUAUAUAUACAUGCUCUGUUUACCAUAAUACAAGAAUAUUAAUGUAGUUCAAUGGUUGAGUGUCUCUUAUAAGUCCAAAAGGUCAGUUGUUCGACUCUCCUUGUUAGCAAAUUUUCCUUCUUAUAUUCUAAUGUCCAAAAUGACGUCGUUUUGAUUUCACGGAGAUUCUAACGAAAAGUUAACACCGUGAUUGUUUUGUUGACGGAAAAUUAACGACAAGCCCUAAUUGGCCAAGUCAACAAAACUUGAUCAUUUUAUCAAAAGUCAAAAUAAACUUUAGGAUUUAAAUGUCUUUUUGAAAGUUCAGGUUUUUUACGUCCCAAAUUUGAAAGUUCACGAUUUUUUUGACAUUUUUCCCGAUACUCUUCCCUGAAAGCUCAUUAGAUAAUUUGGAAAUACUCUUUCCCGUGCUCGAAAGUUCGUUUCUUAUUCCACAAGUUAAUAAUACGAAGAAUGAUGCAUAGGAGGGUUGAGACUUGAGAUAAACACCAAAUCUUUUAAUCCUAAUCCCUUUAAAUAAACAAU
Molecule: small RNA, 573 nt
Filed under: Arabidopsis thaliana (thale cress)
Lineage: Eukaryota; Viridiplantae; Streptophyta; Magnoliopsida; Brassicales; Brassicaceae
Description: ATSL285500
Source: RNAcentral